AUUGAACGCUGGCGGCAUGCUUUACACAUGCAAGUCGAACGGUAACAGGCCGCAAGGUGCUGACGAGUGGCGAACGGGUGAGUAAUGCAUCGGAACGUGCCCAGUCGUGGGGGAUAACUACUCGAAAGAGUAGCUAAUACCGCAUACGAUCUAUGGAUGAAAGCGGGGGACCGUAAGGCCUCGCGCGAUUGGUGCGGCCGAUGUCAGAUUAGGUAGUUGGUGGGGUAAAGGCUCACCAAGCCAACGAUCUGUAGCUGGUCUGAGAGGACGACCAGCCACACUGGGACUGAGACACGGCCCAGACUCCUACGGGAGGCAGCAGUGGGGAAUUUUGGACAAUGGGCGCAAGCCUGAUCGAGCAAUGCCGCGUGCAGGAAGAAGGCCUUCGGGUUGUAAACUGCUUUUGUACGGAACGAAACGGCUCUGGUUAAUACCCGGGGCUAAUGACGGUACCGUAAGAAUAAGCACCGGCUAACUACGUG
Molecule: ribosomal RNA, 482 nt
Filed under: uncultured bacterium
Lineage: Bacteria
Description: partial 16S ribosomal RNA
Rfam family: Bacterial small subunit ribosomal RNA
Source: RNAcentral